This is a non-coding RNA of Otolemur garnettii (small-eared galago), 260 nucleotides long. NCBI's taxonomy places the organism in Eukaryota, Metazoa, Chordata, Mammalia, Primates, Galagidae. The record is from Rfam.
GCUGGAUGCUAUGGCAUGCACUUAUAGUCCCAGCUACUCAGGAGGCUGAGACAGGAGGAUCGCUUGAGUCCAGUAGUUCUGGGCUGUAGGGCACUAUGUCAAUCUGGAAGUAGGGGGCCACCAGGUUGCCUAAGGAGGGGUGAACCUACCCAGGUCGGAAACGGAACAGGUUAAAACUCCCGUGCUGAUCAGUAGUGGGAUGGUGCCUGUGAACAGAAAAGGCACUCUAGCCUAGGCAACAUAGUGAGACCUGGUCUUUA